This 459-nucleotide ribosomal RNA is filed under the name Arthrobacter sp. 5. Its description in RNAcentral is "bacterial SSU rRNA". It matches the Rfam family "Bacterial small subunit ribosomal RNA", at positions 28 to 498 of the family's 1533-position model. Lineage: Bacteria; Bacillati; Actinomycetota; Actinomycetes; Micrococcales; Micrococcaceae. The record is from RNAcentral.
GACGAACGCUGGCGGCGUGCUUAACACAUGCAAGUCGAACGAUGACGGUGGUGCUUGCACUGCCUGAUUAGUGGCGAACGGGUGAGUAACACGUGAGUAACCUGCCCCUCACUUCGGGAUAACCUCGGGAAAUCGUGGCUAAUACCGGAUAUGAACUUCUACCGCAUGGUGGUUGUUGGAAAGAUUUAUCGGUGGGGGAUGGACUCGCGGCCUAUCAGUUUGUUGGUGAGGUAAUGGCUCACCAAGACGAUGACGGGUAGCCGGCCUGAGAGGGCGACCGGCCACACUGGGACUGAGACACGGCCCAGACUCCUACGGGAGGCAGCAGUGGGGAAUAUUGCACAAUGGGCGAAAGCCUGAUGCAGCGACGCCGCGUGGGGGAUGACGGCCUUCGGGUUGUAAACCUCUUUCAGUAGGGAAGAAGCGAAAGUGACGGUACCUGCAGAAGAAGCGCCGGCU